GAUGAACGCUGGCGGCGUGCCUAAUACAUGCAAGUCGAGCGAACGGACGAGAAGCUUGCUUCUCUGAUGUUAGCGGCGGACGGGUGAGUAACACGUGGAUAACCUACCUAUAAGACUGGGAUAACUUCGGGAAACCGUAGCUAAUACCGGAUAAUAUUUUGAACCGCAUGGUUCAAAAGUGAAAGACGGUCUUGCUGUCACUUAUAGAUGGAUCCGCGCCGCAUUAGCUAGUUGGUAAGGUAACGGCUUACCAAGGCAACGAUGCAUAGCCGACCUGAGAGGGUGAGCGGCCACACUGGAACUGAGACACGGUCCAGACUCCUACGGGAGGCAGCAGUAGGGAAUCUUCCGCAAUGGGCGAAAGCCUGACGGAGCAACGCCGCGUGAGUGAUGAAGGUCUUCGGAUCGUAAAACUCUGUUAUUAGGGAAGAACAUAUGUGUAAGUAACUGUGCACGUCUUGACGGUACCUAAUCAGAAAGCCACGGCUAACUACGUG
This 497-nucleotide ribosomal RNA is filed under the name uncultured bacterium. RNAcentral describes it as "partial 16S ribosomal RNA". It matches the Rfam family "Bacterial small subunit ribosomal RNA", at positions 28 to 507 of the family's 1533-position model. The record is from RNAcentral.